CUGAAGCGUCCCCAGAUCUGCCGCCAGUGCCAAAUCCACCUCCUUAACAGAAAAAAAUGCUCCCUCCGAGCAACACCGGAUAUCACAAGCGGUGAUAAGGUCAACGCCGCCACCGAUGCAAGCACCGUCGAUCUCCGCCACCACCGGCUUCCGGCACCGCUCGAUCGCAGUGACGGAAGCCUGCAGGGAGAGGAUAUUGCGUCGGAGGAGCUCACGAGCGGCGGCGGGGUCGGAGGAGGGAGAGGGAGCAG
RNAcentral lists this unclassified non-coding RNA (251 nucleotides) under Hevea brasiliensis (rubber tree). The record is from RNAcentral. Lineage: Eukaryota; Viridiplantae; Streptophyta; Magnoliopsida; Malpighiales; Euphorbiaceae.